CUCGCAGAUGGAAUUCAAAUACCUGUCGUGUUCAAGACAGCCCCAUGGGGAUUAUAGGUGGAUGUCAGAACUAUACCCAGAUUCAGACAUGUGACACUUUCGGGCUGAAGCACUUAAGAGCCAGUGUGCCCUGUCCAUUUCUGUCUUCUGUCCUGUGGAUUUGGAAGCAUGUGUUGACAGAACAAUGUCUUAUGGUGAAGGAAGCCUAAACCCCUGAGUCAUUGGAUGGAGGAGAGCCCAUGUUGACCCAUAAAGGACUUCAUGGUCUCGCUCUGUCACCCAGGCUGGAGUGCAGGCGUGCUAUCUUGGCUCACUGCAACUUCUGCUUCCCGAGUUCAAGAGAUCCUCAUACCUCAGCCUCCUGAGUAGCCGGGACUACAGGCAUGCGCCACCACACCCAGAUAUGACUUAGAAUAUGAUUGAAUAUGAAUACAUGAUUGAAGAUAUAUUAUAAAAUUGAGAUACUUGUUGCAACACAACAGGGAAAUGAAUACAGAAGGGCUCAAAGUAUUUUAUAGAGGGUAUACGAGCAAUUUGACGUCGCAGAAAACCUGUCAGAAAGAAGCACCAUGGAAUAGAGGAAAGAGGCCCGGAAUCCAGCCCCGGGAACUGUGACAGCCUCUGGGGUGGGGACUCUCGUGGAAAGGCUAGAUGAUGGAGUCACGUGCUCCCUUCCCGUUCACUAGCUGCUGAUUGGCCAACUGCUCCUGCCAGCUGUCCCUGCACUCCAGCUUCCUACCAUAUGCUCCAGAAUAACGUCUGGAAAGUGAGCCCCAUCCAUCAAGUUUGUCACACCUUGCACUCAAUCUGCUACCUUCUCUACAGUAUUUGUCCACGUCUCUGCCCUGCUUCAAAUCCUUCAGAGGCUCCCCAUCACCCACAGGGAUGAUCUUUCUGAAAUGGAUUUGGCCAUGCCAGUCUCCUGCCUGAAACAGCCCUCCUGGCUCCUUGUCACUCAAAGGAAAAGGCAAACUCCUCAAGACUGCACAUAAUGCCCACCUUCCCAACCAGCCUCUCCUACUGCCACUCUCUCUCCUACACCCUACCUUCCAAACCCUACUUGGGGUUCACCCUCACAUGCUGGAGUUUUCCCAUCUCUGAGACUUCAUUCAGGCAGUUCCUUCUGGCUUCGGAGGCUUCUUUGUUCCUAAAGUUCAUACUUUAAGACCUAGCUGAAAUAUCAAGGCUUCCUGGACUCUGCAGGUGACACGAGCCACUGUGCUCCUGGAUGCUUCAGAACCUGUGCAGAUCUCUGUCUUCACUCCUACUAUGGCAUCUCCUAGCAUGUUCUACACUGAGCUCCACUGGGCCUUGCAUGUCAGUAUCCCGAAUUCUGAAUGAAGCUUGGAACAUGGGAGGUGCAUCCACUAACAACAUGAAGAAUGAAGACAUGUGUGAGUAAAUGAACAGUUCUCUUCUUAGUGGAAGUUGGCAAAUAGUUGUGAACUUUAAUAUGAUUCUGACAUAUUAAUAUCUUUAUUUUUAGAUAACAGAGUAGAUGGAAACCAUAUGGUAAAACCUAAAGCAAAAUCCACCCUCUAACCUUUCUGUAAGUGAAACACCCAAUUUUCUCGAAGGUGCAGUAAAAGAGCUAAAGCACAGGAGACUAAGUCAUGCAGGCCUAGCUUAGUGUUCUCCUGCCAAUGAUCUGCUGCAAAGACCACCAGGGACACAUCUGUAGUUGAACAUGUUGGGUUAUUCCUCAGCGCAGAGGGAGGAGCAAUGAGGCAUCUCUGAAAGAGGGUGUUAGAAAGAAUGUAUCACAAGAUUUGGGCUUAAGGUAAGUAAUUUUGGGGAUGGUCAACAAAGUGGGGUUUUUCUCUGAAUUGGAUGCUGUCAUAAUGUGGGGGUAAUUCUGUGAUUAUCCCAACAAUACUUAUCUGGAAGGCAAGAAGAACAGAGCAAGGCUGAAACCAGGCUAGAGAAAUGUUUGAUCAGUUUUCCAAUUUUGACAAUGUUCAUGUUUUGCCUGUGUUCAGCCAUGAUGACCUGGUGGUCUUGAUUUUGUCUUGACCUAUCAUGGUCACUAAGUGGCCUUGCCUUAUGCUGAUGGUAUGUGAAAUGUUGAUGUUCAACAGGAGAAUGCCAGCACCUUGCUGUGGGGGUGGGCCUGCCCCUGACUGUCAGAGGCUGCUGUUCUUUUUCUUACCAUCACACAUUUAGCAGCCCUAGGAUUCUGUGCAGGGUACUUAACGUCUUUGGGUGCCAGUUUCCUCAUCUGUAAAAUGAGGCUAGAAAUACCCUCUGUGAAGGAGAAAACAUGUUGAUUGUCUAGCACAGAGUCUGAAACAUAGGAGAUACUCCAAAAAACAUUAGGUCCCUUAUGUCUGGGAGUGUGGCUUUAUCCUCCCUUUAUAGACAAUGGUUUUAGGCCUAAUAAUCACCUGUGGGUUUCUUUUCAAAUGGCCUCUCCUUCAUAGCACAUAGGUGCAAUUGCAGAUGAGCUCUCAGUUAUUAAUAAAAGAAUGGUGCUGGACCAGCCUAGGAAAAUUGUGCAGAAUGAAUGUGGAGUUAAUGCAAACAACCUGGCUGCAGGGCCCUGUGGAUAACAGAAACUUCCACCGUUUGCAGACUACUCCACAUGUCCUUUAACUAUCUAUGAAUUAUGUGCUCGACUACAGCAGCCAAGUGGACUCACAGAACUGGAGUAAUAAUGGUAUAUCUCUACAGAAACUUUUACAGUUUAUAUACGGUCUUUCCAAUGUCACAUAGUCUUACUUGAGCUACACACCAGGACUGUGCCUUUAGAGCUCCUGUCUUCAUUUUACAGCAAAGAAACCUGGGCUCCCUGCAGUUGGGUGACCUGUGCAGUUACUCAGCCAGCACACAGCAGAGCUGGGACAUACUGCUUUUUUUUUUUAAUCUUUUUUAGAUUUUUAUUUGUGGUGAAACAUAAACAACAUAACCUUUGCCAUUUUAACCACGUUUAAGUGUACAAUUCAGCAGCAUUAAUUACAUUCACAAUGUUGUGCAACCAUCAGCAUCAUUUCCAGAACUCUUUCAUCACCCCAAACAGAAACUCUGUACCCAUUAAGCAAUUAACUCCCCAUUCAUUCCCCAAAUCCCCAGCCCUAGUCUAAUCUACUUUCCAUCUCCACGAUUUUACCUAGUCUUGUUUUUAAAUCAAUUUCAGUGAGGUAUAAUUUACAUACAAUGAAAUGUACCCAUUUUAAAUGUACAGUUUAAUGAACUUGACAAAUAUAUACACCCAUGUCAGCUAUAGAGCAUUUCUUCACCCUAAAGACUUCUCUUGUGCCUUCUCAGUCAACUCCCUAUCUCAGUGCCAGCUCUGAUCUGCUUUUGAUUGCUAUAGACUAGGUUUGUUUUUUCUAGAGUUUCAUGUAAACAUACUCAGGUCUUUUUAAGCCUACUAUCCUCUCCACUACCACGUGUUCCCUCUCAUAGAAGGUUGAAGCUGGAAGGGCCCUCACACCUACAGCUCCUUUUCCGCAUGAAGAAACUGAAGCCCCAGACACAAGGGAUUGACUACCUUUGACAAAAGUAUGUCAAAAGCAAUACAUCUUACUAGUGGAGCGAAGACACUGCAUGCUGACAAAGGUGAUCUCAGAUGUGAGGUCGAUGGUGCGCCAUGCAAUCAGCUUGCUGAGUGAGCCUACUUAUGCCCCAUCCCGGGGGCCUAGGGUAAGAAAAGUGCCAAGCGAAGCUGAGGAUCAGACUAAAGCUGGAAGGUGAGUCAAAGCUUGAGUCCCUCAGCAUUACCCUGCCCAGGCAGCAACUUCAGCCUCAUGGUCUUUUAGCCCUAAAACUUAGGACUAGCUCAGUGGGAGUUUUACAUUCCUUGGCUUGACAAAUGAAAAAGGUAUUGGUAGUCAGAGGGGAAAAAGGCUAAAAUAACUCAAAGUUCUAUCUGAAUCCAUGUGGAGGGUCAGGAAAAAUGCAUGGGUUUGGGGAGCCAGAAAGACCCCAGAAAUCCUCCUAACUUCCGAUAUGAACUUAGGCGAGCAUCUCACCUAUCUGCACCCCAGUUCCUUCAUUUGUAAAGUGGAGGGAAUAACAUCUACCUCAUGGGACUGUGACAAGUUACAAGUGAGCUCGUAUAACAUGAAGUAUCUUAAAUGCUGGCAGCCUUCUUUUUCUUUAUAUUCAAACAAAAGGAAAAACAAAGCUUUCUGGCCACUUUGAGUCUGAAAGUCUGGCUGUUAGGGUAGAAAAGUCUUCUAAACACUGAAUGGAUUUGAUGAUAAUCCCUUAGGGAUUGACACUGCCGAAUGCCCUUGUUCCUGGGGUCUUGGGUGCUGAAAUCCGCUUGGUGCAUACAGAGAUGCACCACCUGAGUUUCGAGGCAACUGUGCAUGUUCUGAAGAACAUUCUAUUUCCCCGUCAAUAAUAACAACAAUGAUGGGCAUCAAUGAUCUGUUUUGCACAUGUACAUCAUCUUUUUUGGCCUUGUUAUAUAACAGAUGAUGACGCUGAAAUUGCUGACACUAAUUAUCUACCAUAAGCAGGAAGGCCUUUUCUGAGUAAGCUCCUGGUUACUGGGAGCAGGUUGCAUCUAGGACUGAUAGUCUCUGGGGAUCCUAAUGAAGUCAGCGUAUUUUAGGGAUUUCUGUCUUCUCCUUUGUUAGAUGGGAAUAGAGACAGCCUGAGGGAGAGAUGCUGCUGGAAGAUCUUAUUUGGGGAUUGGUUCCAUGCUGUAGCUGGGUGACUUUGGGCAAGUUAGAUGGUCUUAAAAUGUCAGAGCUGGAAGGACCUGUGGGAACUGUUUUACAGAAAAGGAAACCAAAGGUCAGAAAUGAAACCAUCUGCCUCAUAUCACACAGCUAAAUUGAUGUGAUGCUAUUAAAACCCAGGUGUCCUUCCUGAUUCUGUUUGAGUGUGUUUGAAUUACUUAAUCUGGGUCUAGAUUCAAAUCCUGGUGCUAUUACAUGUGAAUCUCAGGAUUUUAGCAAGUUGUUAAACUCUCUACCUUGUCUGCAAUAUUUGUGAAAUGGGAAUAAUAAAAAUACCUGAGUGUUCCUGUGAGGAUUAAAUUAGGUGAUGCUAGUAAUUUUAAAAUAUAUCUUAUUAUUAUUAGUAAGUGAAAGGUAUCAUGAUUACCUUCUGCAGUGGUUCUAGAAACAGUGAGCCUGAUCUAAUUCUGUUAGCCAAUUCUGGUAGCUGCCUGUGUUUGUAAAUAAAGUCUUAUUAGAACACAGCUACAUUCAUUCAUUUAUGUAUCAUCUUUUGCUGCUUUCCUGUGACAAUGGUAGAGUAGCUGUAAUAGAGACAGUAUGGCCCACAAGGCACACAUAUUUACAGAGAGUUUGGCAACUUCUGGUUAGAUGAUCUGUGUAUUCUACUUGCACUCACUACUCCAAUGGCUGAAACCCAUAUGGAAAUCUCCAUGUCUAGCCUUGAUUUCUCUUUUGAUCUCCAGAGGUUGUAUCCAGCAGCCUACUGGCAUCUCUACUUGGAAGUCUCAUGGGCACCUUGAGUUCAGUUGGUCCCAAAGUAAACUUGUCUUCUUUCUGCUCAAACAUGCUGCUUGUGUUCCUUAGCACAGUGACUGGCACCAUGUAGAUCCCCAUGCCAGGAACCUGGGUGUCAUCCUACCUUAUGUCCUCUUCCUCACCUCCCAUGUCUCUUCGGUCUUAACCUUCUGUUGAUUUCAGCUUUUAAACAUCUCUUGGCACUAUGCCUGAGGUCUUGGCUGACACUGCCCUUAGCUAGACCCUGGUCAUCUUCUGCCUGAUCCAGUGCCAUCACUUUCUAGCUACAGGACCUCGACAGGGAGUCUGUUCAUAAAGGUCCAAGGAAGUGGGACACUGUGCCCUCCAAAAACUUAGGUUGGACUUGUCAUUGAGUUCUGUGUCCAUAAAAUAGGUCAUUUUCUGUUGUUUUGUGGUUCUUUAUUUUAAGGGUCUGUUGUUUGGUUGUAUUUAAAAAGAGAAUGGUAAUAAUAAUCCCAAAUACAUGUACUUUACUUUCAAAGCUUAUAAAACACUUUCAUACUUAUGAUAUUAUUUGAUUCUUGGACAGCUUGGGGAGAGAGCUAUUGCAAUUAUCUGUAUUUAUCCAUAUGAAAGGAUGUAUGCUUACCUAAGGUGACCUGCUUUGGAAGUAGAAAUCAGACCUAAGGCCCCUGACUCUGUGUUUUGUUUCUUCCUUUCUUUCCUUUUCUUCCCUUCCCUCCCUACCUCCUUUUUUUUCUCUCUCUCUCUUCCUCUCUCACUCUCUUAAGAUUCGUCUUCCCAAAGCAUCUGAGGUUUCAGCUUUCUUUUCCCUUGAACACUAGAAAUCCAUCAGGUAAUAUGUUAUAUGUCUUGCAUUCCCACCACGAAGAUCAGUAUUAAAAAAUGACAGCAACUUAUUAUUUAUGGCAAUAUCUAUUGUUACUAAGGGAGGCAGACCAAACAAUUCCCCAUUGUUACAGAUGCUACUCUGACUUGACAGCUGGGAAAGUCUGAUAGGCAGUUUAUUUACUUAGCCAUUUAACCAAAUAAAUGUUUUCAUUUUUCUUUCAUCUCCUCAAAAGCUAACAUUUCGUCCUCAAAAUUGCUCCAGCAACACAUCAGUGAAGUAUAAAUUACCUGCCAUUCCCAUACCAGUCAUUAUAAUAUUAUUUUGGUUCUUUUUUGCCCUUGUUGACCCAGUCUUUCAAAGACACGUGAUUCUCCCAGAUGGGAGGGUAGGGGGAAAAAAGUGAAGUAAUUGAAGAUACUUUCCUUUAUUGCUAAAACAGCACUGCUGUUUGAGAUUGGCCCUGAAGCUUCCACCUGUGGGGAUUGAGUCCGUCUGUUUCCUCUUACUAUGGUGUGAUAUGGCUUUAGCUUAUCAACAGAUGUCAUCCCUACUUACUCAGAACUGUGCAGGUAUUUCUAAUAAAAAACAGCUGGUGAUAAUGGUUGCAAGGGUGAUAAGAGAGACAGGACUCUUGCUUUCCAACCAUAUGAAAGCAGAGGGGAAAAAAUAAAGCCAUGGACAUAACUUUCCCUGCAUGGUCUCUCUUCUCCAAAUGUUUGGAAAGGCACUAAGAAAUUGCAGUCAGUAAAUUUUCAGUUGGGUGGAUGGGGGAAUGGGAUGGAGAUGGAAAGAUUAAAUGUGUCUUGUGCUGCUGUCGAUGGAGGGACCCAGAAUGGCUCUCCCAGACGUCCCCCAUGUGUGUCAUAGUGGCUAUGUCUGCAAAGCUGGCAUCUGCCCCUUGGCACUUGAAUCUUGAUAACUGUGAAGUGGCCAGGCUAAGCUUUCAAAGGGAGAAAAUUACUUCACCGAAGAUUACAGUCCAGCCCUCCUCUGGAGCUGGGAGGUACUUAUUUUGACUUGCAUGUGAUUCUAAGACAGCCCAUUUUUUGGCAGUGAGCUGUGUGAGGCCCAAACCAGGGCCAUUCUGAUUAUGGGGUGGGGCAAGCCAGAGAGCUAAGCAGCAGGCUUUUUUCUUUUUUUCCCUUCCAAAGCUGUUGUGACACAUAUUGAAAAUUAAUUAUCUGAAGACAAAGUACAAAGCAAAACCUCCCAACCAAUGGUCUUAUACAUGAAAGCUAAAUGUAUAAAAUCCAAGAGAGUGGGGAGCGUGCAUUAAUUGGAUAUAUGUGAUGAUGAUAAUGAUGAUGAUAAUGAUGAUGGUGAUGGUGAUGAUGAGGGUAGCUAGCAUCUAUUAGGUGCUUUCUAUGUGCUAUACACAGUGCUAAGAGCUUCACAUAUAUCACUUUAUUUAGUUCACAUAAUAACCCUAUGAGGUGGACACUAUUUUUAUCCUUAUUUUUCAAAUGAAGAAAAUAAGAUAGAGAAUAAUUAUAAAAUCACAGCAGUGUCACAUAGCCAGGAAGUGGUGGAGCCAGAUGCUGAACUCAAACAAUGUUGUUCCAGAACCUAGAUAUUUUUUUUAAGCUGAAUUUUAAGCUGAUUACUCAGUGUCUGUCUCUGCGCUAGAUACUCAACAUAAACUAUCUCAGUUACCAUUAUGGAGAAUAUAAGCCCCUUC
RNAcentral lists this long non-coding RNA (7921 nucleotides) under Homo sapiens (human). RNAcentral's name for it is "HSALNT0292411". The record is from RNAcentral. Lineage: Eukaryota; Metazoa; Chordata; Mammalia; Primates; Hominidae.